Molecule: long non-coding RNA, 522 nt
Organism: Oreochromis niloticus (Nile tilapia)
Lineage: Eukaryota; Metazoa; Chordata; Actinopteri; Cichliformes; Cichlidae
Exons: 2
Source: RefSeq, a predicted model, not a curated record
AGAGCGAUAUGCAGUAUUUCCGGGGGAAAAGAUAUAAUCACGCGAUUAAUCGACAAGAAGCGCUUGAAAACAGGCACUUAUCAAACGAUUUAUUAGACACAGGCUAACAGAUGGCUGAACAUGGGAGGCACUGGGGGGUGGGGGCAUCUGUUGCUUGGAUGCUCAGGCGUCACUCGCGAGAAGAUGUCUUGUGCUUGAAACAGUAUUUAUCCACCUCUCUAAUCACUCCUGGUCAUUGCACUGGCCAUAAAGGAGUGUGAGUAUGGCCACGCCACACCUGCAGCCUGCAUGGGGAAUUGGAGCCUAGCAGUCUCUGACAAUCCCCAUCGGUUUCCCAAAUGACUGACUGACUAACGGAAAGGGAAUUGCCCUGCUCCCAUUUAAGCAAUAACAUAGAAAGCCAACCUUCCGGAAGAGGUCAUGGUGAACACAGAUGAUCUGAACCAACUUUUGAUGAGUUUGCAUGAUUUGAACUUGGGAUAGUUCUACAUAUUUAACUUUGCAACAAGUAAAGUUACACAG